UCUUGGGUUGUAAACCUCUUUUCUCAGGGAAGAAAAAAAUGACGGUACCUGAGGAAUAAGCAUCGGCUAACUCCGUGCCAGCAGCCGCGGUAAUACGGAGGAUGCAAGCGUUAUCCGGAAUGAUUGGGCGUAAAGCGUCCGCAGGUGGCUAUGUAAGUCUGCUGUUAAAGAGUGAGGCUCAACCUCAUAAGAGCAGUGGAAACUACACAGCUAGAGUGCGUUCGGGGCAGAGGGAAUUCCUGGUGUAGCGGUGAAAUGCGUAGAGAUCAGGAAGAACACCGGUGGCGAAAGCGCUCUGCUAGGCCGCAACUGACACUGAGGGACGAAAGCUAGGGGAGCGAAUGGGAUUAGAUACCCCCAGUAGUC
Molecule: ribosomal RNA, 366 nt
Filed under: Aulosira laxa K86
Lineage: Bacteria; Bacillati; Cyanobacteriota; Cyanophyceae; Nostocales; Fortieaceae
Description: bacterial SSU rRNA
Rfam family: Bacterial small subunit ribosomal RNA
Source: RNAcentral